Molecule: ribosomal RNA, 492 nt
Filed under: uncultured bacterium
Lineage: Bacteria
Description: partial 16S ribosomal RNA
Rfam family: Bacterial small subunit ribosomal RNA
Source: RNAcentral
AGCGAACGCUGGCGGUAGGCCUAACACAUGCAAGUCGAACGGCAGCACAGUAAGAGCUUGCUCUUACGGGUGGCGAGUGGCGGACGGGUGAGGAAUACAUCGGAAUCUACUUUUUCGUGGGGGAUAACGUAGGGAAACUUACGCUAAUACCGCAUACGACCUACGGGUGAAGGCAGGGGAUCUUCGGACCUUGCGCGAUUGAAUGAGCCGAUGUCGGAUUAGCUAGUUGGCGGGGUAAAGGCCCACCAAGGCGACGAUCCGUAGCUGGUCUGAGAGGAUGAUCAGCCACACUGGAACUGAGACACGGUCCAGACUCCUACGGGAGGCAGCAGUGGGGAAUAUUGGACAAUGGGCGCAAGCCUGAUCCAGCCAUACCGCGUGGGUGAAGAAGGCCUUCGGGUUGUAAAGCCCUUUUGUUGGGAAAGAAAGGCAGCAGGUUAAUACCCCGCUGUUCUGACGGUACCCAAAGAAUAAGCACCGGCUAACUUCGUG